RNAcentral lists this ribosomal RNA (1369 nucleotides) under Murmidius sp. CO1013. RNAcentral's name for it is "SSU rRNA". It matches the Rfam family "Eukaryotic small subunit ribosomal RNA", at positions 24 to 1346 of the family's 1831-position model. Lineage: Eukaryota; Metazoa; Arthropoda; Insecta; Coleoptera; Cerylonidae. The record is from RNAcentral.
UCAUAUGCUUGUCUCAAAGAUUAAGCCAUGCAUGUCUCAGUACAAGCCAAAUUAAGGUGAAACCGCGAAAGGCUCAUUAAAUCAGUUAUGGUUCCUUAGAUCGUACCCACAUUUACUUGGAUAACUGUGGUAAUUCUAGAGCUAAUACAUGCAAAUAGAGCUCCGACCGGAGACGGAAGGAGCGCUUUUAUUAGAUCAAAACCAAUCGGUGAUGGGUCCGCCCUUCAUCGUACAACUUGGUGACUCUGAAUAACUUUACGCUGAUCGCAUGGUCUAGCACCGGCGACGCAUCUUUCAAAUGUCUGCCUUAUCAACUGUCGAUGGUAGGUUCUGCGCCUACCAUGGUUGUAACGGGUAACGGGGAAUCAGGGUUCGAUUCCGGAGAGGGAGCCUGAGAAACGGCUACCACAUCCAAGGAAGGCAGCAGGCGCGCAAAUUACCCACUCCCGGCACGGGGAGGUAGUGACGAAAAAUAACGAUACGGGACUCAUCCGAGGCCCCGUAAUCGGAAUGAGUACACUCUAAACCCUUUAACGAGGAUCAAUUGGAGGGCAAGUCUGGUGCCAGCAGCCGCGGUAACUCCARCUCCAAUAKCGUAUAUUAAAGUUGUUGCGGUUAAAAAGCUCGUAGUCGAAUCUGUGUCUCGCGCCGACGGUUCAUCGUACGCGGUGUCAACUGUCGUGCCGCGAGACGUCCUGCCGGUGGGCUUAGCUCGCAAGGGCGGCCCAACUCAAUCCCACCGCGGUGCUCUUCACUGAGUGUCGAGGUGGGCCGGCACGUUUACUUUGAACAAAUUAGAGUGCUUAAAGCAGGCUAAAACUUCGCCUGAAUACUGUGUGCAUGGAAUAAUGGAAUAGGACCUCGGUUCUAUUUUGUUGGUUUUCGGAACCCCGAGGUAAUGAUUAAUAGGAACGGAUGGGGGCAUUCGUAUUGCGACGUUAGAGGUGAAAUUCUUGGAUCGUCGCAAGACGGACAGAAGCGAAAGCAUUUGCCAAAAACGCUUUCAUUGAUCAAGAACGAAAGUUAGAGGUUCGAAGGCGAUCAGAUACCGCCCUAGUUCUAACCAUAAACGAUGCCAGCUAGCGAUCCGCCGACGUUCCUCCGAUGACUCGGCGGGCAGCUUCCGGGAAACCAAAGCUUUUGGGUUCCGGGGGAAGUAUGGUUGCAAAGCUGAAACUUAAAGGAAUUGACGGAAGGGCACCACCAGGAGUGGAGCCUGCGGCUUAAUUUGACUCAACACGGGAAACCUCACCAGGCCCGGACACCGGAAGGAUUGACAGAUUGAGAGCUCUUUCUUGAUUCGGUGGGUGGUGGUGCAUGGCCGUUCUUAGUUGGUGGAGCGAUUUGUCUGGUUAAUUCCGAUAACGAA